UACGUAGGGUGCGAGCGUUAAUCGGAAUUACUGGGCGUAAAGUGUGCGCAGGCGGCAGAGCAAGUCGAGUGUGAAAGCCCCGGGCUUAACUUGGGAAUUGCGCUCGAAACUACUUUGCUGGAGUGUGGCAGAGGAAGGUGGAAUUCCACGUGUAGCGGUGAAAUGCGUAGAGAUGUGGAGGAACACCAAUGGCGAAGGCAGCCUUCUGGGCCAACACUGACGCUCAUGCACGAAAGCGUGGGGAGCAAGACGG
Molecule: ribosomal RNA, 253 nt
Filed under: uncultured bacterium
Lineage: Bacteria
Description: partial 16S ribosomal RNA
Rfam family: Bacterial small subunit ribosomal RNA
Source: RNAcentral